GCGCUUGUAGUUCAAUGGACAGAACGCUGGCCUCCGGAGCCAGAAGUUGUGGGUUCAACUCCCACCAAGCGCU
RNAcentral lists this transfer RNA (73 nucleotides) under Candidatus Omnitrophota bacterium. RNAcentral's name for it is "tRNA-Arg". It matches the Rfam family "tRNA". From Rfam's summary of the family: Transfer RNA (tRNA) molecules are approximately 80 nucleotides in length. Their secondary structure includes four short double-helical elements and three loops (D, anti-codon, and T loops). Lineage: Bacteria; Pseudomonadati; Candidatus Omnitrophota. The record is from RNAcentral.